Molecule: ribosomal RNA, 485 nt
Filed under: uncultured Bacillota bacterium
Lineage: Bacteria; Bacillati; Bacillota
Description: bacterial SSU rRNA
Rfam family: Bacterial small subunit ribosomal RNA
Source: RNAcentral
GGCAGCAGUGGGGAAUCUUCCGCAAUGGACGCAAGUCUGACGGAGCAACGCCGCGUGUAUGAAGAAGGUCUUCGGACUGUAAAGUACUGUCUUUGGGGAAGAAAGGUAGUUUUGAGAAUAUUGAGACUAGCUGACGGUACCCAAGGAGGAAGCCCCGGCUAACUACGUGCCAGCAGCCGCGGUAAUACGUAGGGGGCGAGCGUUGUCCGGAAUUAUUGGGCGUAAAGGGCGCGUAGGCGGAUAAUUAAGUCCGGUGUGAAAGAUCAGGGCUCAACCGUGAGAGUGCAUCGGAAACUGGUUAUCUUGAGUACAGGAGAGGAAAGUGGAAUUCCACGUGUAGCGGUGAAGUGCGUAGAUAUGUGGAGGAACAUCAGUGGCGAAGGCGACUUUCUGGACUGUAACUGACGCUGAGGCGCGAAAGCGUGGGUAGCAAACAGGAUUAGAUACCCUGGUAGUCCACGCUGUAAACGAUGAGUACUAAGUGU